AUUGAACGCUGGCGGCAUGCUUUACACAUGCAAGUCGAGCGGCAGCGCGGGGGCAACCCUGGCGGCGAGCGGCGAACGGGUGAGUAAUGCAUCGGAACGUAUCCUCGAGUGGGGGAUAACCCAGCGAAAGUUGGGCUAAUACCGCAUGAGCUCUGAGGAGGAAAGCGGGGGACCUGCGAGGGCCUCGCGCUGGAGGAGCGGCCGAUGUCCGAUUAGCUAGUUGGUGGGGUAAAGGCUUACCAAGGCGACGAUCGGUAGCUGGUCUGAGAGGAUGAUCAGCCACACUGGGACUGAGACACGGCCCAGACUCCUACGGGAGGCAGCAGUGGGGAAUUUUGGACAAUGGGGGCAAGCCUGAUCCAGCCAUGCCGCGUGAGUGAAGAAGGCCUUCGGGUUGUAAAGCUCUUUCGGACGGAACGAAAUGGGCGGGACUAAUACUCCUGUGUGAUGACGGUACCGUAAGAAGAAGCACCGGCUAACUACGUG
This 486-nucleotide ribosomal RNA is filed under the name uncultured bacterium. RNAcentral describes it as "partial 16S ribosomal RNA". It matches the Rfam family "Bacterial small subunit ribosomal RNA", at positions 29 to 507 of the family's 1533-position model. The record is from RNAcentral.